CUAAAGUUCCAAAAAAGCUUUGUUUGUGAACUGCAAAGUCCACCAUGUUGACCGAGAGAGCAGCUAGAGCUGUGUGCCAGUCAUGUUUCCGUGCGAUGGACAUUUAAGAUCAGAGUGACCGUUUCUUUGGAUUGUCCCCUGACACAGCUGACCCCCUCUCCAAGCCUCAUCAUCAUAAUUCUUAUCCUCCAUCAGAUGGAAGACAAGAGUCCGCUUCUGGGGGGUGGAUGCUCUGACAGGAACAGGAAGAACAUCGACAAACUGGUGUGAAGAUCCAUCCCCGUUCUGGAAUGUUCCCUAGACUUUGUGCUUGUGUUGUGUGAGAGGAGGAUGUUACGGAAACUGGAAUCCAUCAUCCAUCCUCAUCCUAUGUAAGAGACCAUGGUUGCACUAAACACCUGCUGCAGUCAGAGACUUAUAACACAGGAAGAAGUGCUUUCACAGAUCUUUCUUCCUGUUAACUAUUAAACUCUACAACACCUCAUUGA
Molecule: long non-coding RNA, 488 nt
Organism: Oryzias melastigma (Indian medaka)
Lineage: Eukaryota; Metazoa; Chordata; Actinopteri; Beloniformes; Adrianichthyidae
Exons: 3
Source: RefSeq, a predicted model, not a curated record